Ictalurus furcatus (blue catfish) is the source of this 2510-nucleotide long non-coding RNA. RefSeq lists it as uncharacterized. The record is from RefSeq and is a predicted model, not a curated record. The transcript is spliced from 3 exons. Lineage: Eukaryota; Metazoa; Chordata; Actinopteri; Siluriformes; Ictaluridae.
GGUCAAAAGCCUCGGUACGAGUGGAAAGAAGAGUAUGAGACGUGGGAUCAGAAAAAUAUGGUGACGUUUAAAAGUGGGAAGGGAAGCGACGAGGGGGCAGAGUUUUAAAAUAGUAGAAAGAGGGACCCAGCGAGAGAGGAGGAAAAGGGAGGGAUAUGCUGAGAUGGAGGAAUGCAGGGUUGGAACGACAACUCGACGUACAGAGAGAGAGAGAGAGAGAACAAGAGAGCAGAAGUCAGACUGGGUGUAUACAUCUCACAGGGGCUGGGAGCCUAAAUCCUAGGAGGAAGCCUCUUUAGACCAUCACUAAAUUCAUCUAUAAUAAAGGUUCAAAGCGCAAGACCCCACCUCUGUCUUUGGUUCUGGAGAUGUCCUUGAUCUACUAAUUCUGAAUUAAAAGACCAAGGUCGUGACAAAUCUGGAGCCCACCAUGGGAACAUCAGGCACAAGGCAAGAGAACUCACCCUGGAUGGGAGGCCAGUCCAUCACAGGCACCAUGAACACACACACACACACACACACACACACACACACACACAUUUACACUUAUGGUCAAUUUAGUGUAGCAUGUGUCUGGUAUGUUUUUUUUCAGACAGUGGGAGAAAGCUGGAGAACCUGGAGGAAAUCCAGGGAAACACAGGGAGAACAUGCAAAACUCCACGCAGACAGUAACCAGAGCUCAGGAUUGAACUCAGGGCCCUGGAACUGUCAGGAGCUGCAAAAGUACCUGCUGUGCCAUUGUGCUGCCCUUAAUGAUCUUCAGUAAAUGCCAAUAUGUUAUAAAGGAAUUUAUUAUUAGACUACAUUUUUAUACUGAACAAACAGCCAGUUAGCUGAACUUUAUAUACAACCUUUAGUUCUUACAUCAUUAAUAACCAUGAUUAGAAGAAGAAAGUAGAAAGAAAUCAUCAGGGUCUAGUCAUUUUUACUAUCACUAUAACACUCAACAUUACACUCAAGUGUAACAUACAUCAAAGCAAAGAGAAAAGAUAUUUAGCAUACCCAUUUCCCAGCAUGCAAAAAGAUUUACAAUUUAAUGUAGUGUGCUACAACUAUUUUCUCACAAGCCCAGCUUAUUAGUCAGCCAUUGGUCAGUUAUGGUAUACAGUACAGUUACAGCCUAUGUACAAUACUAAAAGAUAAACUACAAGAGGUAUAAUGCCAUAGGAAUUAUAAUACAUGUAACACUCUUAAUGAGUAACAUAUCUUGCCAAUGCCUAUGAUGUUUUAUGCCUAAAACAACAUCAGAUUUUCACACAAGUCCUAAAAGUAGACAAAGAGAACCCAGUUGAACAAACGAGACAAAAAUAGUAUACUUGGUCAUUUAUUUAUUAAGGAAAAUGAUCCAAUAUUACAUAUCUGUGAGUGGCAAAAGUAUGUGAACCAGUGGAAUGACAAUCAGGUGUGAGUGAGCACCAUGUUUUAUUUAAAGAACAGGGAUCUAUCAGAGUCUGAUCUUCACAACACGUGUUUGUGGACGUGUAUUGUGGCAUGAACCAAGGAGAUUUAUAAGGACCUCAGAAAAAGAGUUGUUGAUGCUCAUCAGGAUGGAAAAGCUUACAAAACCAUCUCUAAAGAGUUUUGACUCCACCACUCUACAGUCAGACAGAUUGUAUGUAAAUGGAGAAAAUACAAGACCAUUGUUACCCUCCCCAGGAGUGCUCAACCAACAAAGAUCACUCCAAGAGCAAGAUGUGUAAUAGUCCUUGAGGUCACAAAGGAACCCAGAGUAACUUUUAAGCAACUAAAGGCCUCUCUCACAUUGCCGAAUAUUAAUGUCUAACAUGAGACCAAAAUAGAAUUUUUGGUUUAAAUGAGAAGCGUUAUGUUUGGAGCAAAGACAAACACUGCAUUCCAGCAUAAGAUCCUUAUCCCAUCUGUGAAACAUGGUGGUGGUAGCAUUAUGAUUUGUAUAAUAUUUUUGUCUCAUUUGUUUAACUGGGUUCUCUUUAUUUACUUUUAGGACGUGUGUAAAUAUCUGAUUAUGUUUUAGGUCAUAUCUAUGCAGAAAUAUUUUGUUUUAAAUUAUAAAGGGUUCACAACUUUCAAGCACUACUGUAAGUUGAAUUAAGUGAAAUGGUUUAUCACUUGAAAUAAAGUAUUGUAAAUACUGUAAAUGCAUAUGUAAUAAAAAAUAGUAGAGUGCUUUUACUCUAUGUGCUGCCUGUAAUGACCGAAUCGGAUCUCAAAGCUUUAUUGCUUAACAUCUUAAAAUCACAGAAUUACAGUUCCAAGGUAGACAGAAAAAUUUUGAUGAAUGUUUGUUAAGUAAGGAAUAAAACACAAUAGGGCAUGCUUUUCAUAGGAAAAAUAAUCCAUAAUGUGGUGGUGUGAUUAAUUCAAUUAUCUUAAUUCAAUAAGACAAAAAAUGUCAUGUUACCAAUAAACCAAAAAGUGCAAAUUCCUCUAUCCUGAAGAGUCUCCUGUUGCAGCAAACUUACUGAUCUUUACAAUAUUUACAUGUUGUCUGUACAACAUAUUUGAGAGUCCUUCUGUAAAUGUUAAAAUAA